GACGAACGCUGGCGGCGUGCUUAACACAUGCAAGUCGAACGGAAAGGCCCUGCUUUUGUGGGGUGCCCGAGUGGCGAACGGGUGAGUAGCACGUGAGUAACCUGCCCUUGACUUUGGGAUAACUUCAGGAAACUGGGGCUAAUACCGGAUAGGAGCUCCUGCUGCAUGGUGGGGGUUGGAAAGUUUCGGCGGUUGGGGAUGGACUCGCGGCUUAUCAGCUUGUUGGUGGGGUAGUGGCUUACCAAGGCUUUGACGGGUAGCCGGCCUGAGAGGGUGACCGGCCACAUUGGGACUGAGAUACGGCCCAGACUCCUACGGGAGGCAGCAGUGGGGAAUAUUGCACAAUGGGCGGAAGCCUGAUGCAGCAACGCCGCGUGCGGGAUGACGGCCUUCGGGUUGUAAACCGCUUUCGCCUGCGACGAAGCGUGAGUGACGGUAAUGGGUAAAGAAGCACCGGCUAACUACGUG
RNAcentral lists this ribosomal RNA (468 nucleotides) under uncultured bacterium. RNAcentral describes it as "partial 16S ribosomal RNA". It matches the Rfam family "Bacterial small subunit ribosomal RNA", at positions 28 to 507 of the family's 1533-position model. The record is from RNAcentral.